CUUCCAGCAGACAUGCCAAGAAGCAAGCCAGGGUCAGUGAGUGAAGAGGAGGGCAGGCCCAUUUGAAGCAACACAGUUUAUAUACAUGAAAAGAAAGAAGGAGAGAAGGAAGAAAGGAGGGCGGAAGGAAAGGAAGAAGGGAGAGAAGAAGAGAAGAAAGAAGCAGAGAAAGGAAGAGAAAAGAAAUUACGGCCAGUGCGGUGGCUCACGCCUGUAAUCCUAGCACUUUGGGAGGCCUAAGCGGGCUGAUCACCUGAGGUCAGGAGUUCGUAAGCCAGCCUGGCCAACAUGGUGAAACCCUAUCUCUACUAAAAAUACAAAAAUCAGCAGGGCAUGGUGGUGCGUGCCUGUAAUCCCAGCUACCUGGGAGGCUGAGGCAGGAGAAUAGCUUAAACCUGGGAGGAAGAGGUUGCAGUGAGCCGAGAUUGCUCAAUUGCACCCCAGCCUGGGUGACAGAGCAAAACUCCAUCUCAAAAACAAACAAACGAACAAACCUGAUAUUUUCAAAAUUGAGGCAAUUAUAACAGCUAUUUAGCCAAGCAUUAUGAUAGCAAUAAUAGCAAGAAAAUAAAUUAGUUAACAAAUGAGUCUCAGAAGCCCAAUGAUUUUUAUUUUAUUUUUAUUUUUUGAACUUUUAUUUUAGAAUCAGGGGAUACAUGUGCAGGUUUGUUACCCGGGUAUAUUGCAUGAUGCUGAGUUUUGGAGUAUGCAUGAAUCCAACCUGUCAUCCAGGUAGUGAGUAUAGUACCCAACAGAUAGUUUUUUUAACAUUUACUUCACUCCCUUCCCCAAUCUUGUAUUCCCCUGUGUCUACUGUUCCCAUUUUUAUGACUGUGCCAACAAUAAUUUUUUUUCUUUUUUCUUUAAAUAGAGAUGGGGGUCUCUAUUUAAAGAGCCUCCCAAAGUGCUAGGAUUACAGGUGUGAUCCAUUGCACCUGGCCCAUGCCAACAAUAUUUGAAACCCUUAUCUGCGUGUACAAGUUUGCUACUGGUUUUGUUUUGCUCAUUAAUACAUCCCAAGCAUCUAUACCUGGCUUGUAGUACCAGCAUGUAGUAGGUGCUUAAUAAAUAUUUAUUGAA
This 1080-nucleotide long non-coding RNA is filed under the name Homo sapiens (human). Its description in RNAcentral is "lung cancer associated transcript 1". Lineage: Eukaryota; Metazoa; Chordata; Mammalia; Primates; Hominidae. The record is from RNAcentral.